UAAUUUUGUCGAAAGGGGUGUGCUUGGGAGGUAGGGCUCAUGUGGAAGUUGAGAAUGAGGAUUUUACGUAAAACCCUAGCUACCAUUGGCCCCUAUUUUGAGUGAUUUCAUCGGUAUUUCCCAUUAUAGGCAGCUACGAUGGAGGUUGGUUUGAUGAACCUUUUAUGGUAGUAGAAAACAAAAUUGGUAGUUCUUUGCUGAUGGGGAGGUAAACCUUGUAUUUACUCAAUCUUGUAAUUUUUCAUGAUAAUGAAAUCAUUUCGUUAUCAGUUGCUUAUGACUGUAGCUUUAUUAGGCUAAACCACAUAUAUUUGUGUAUUGAUGGUUUUUCGAUUGUUGUUUGUAGUGUGUUGUUGUAGUUUUUGAUUUCUCAUUUUUCUUCUCUUGAUUUUCUUUUAUUUUUCCAAAUUUUAUAUGCUAAAUACUGUUCUUGGGUGUUUGGGUUUCUUGAAAUUGAUUCGCUGGUGACCAACGAGUUUGCUUUGAGGCAUUAAAUAUUUUUUGCAUUUGGGGGUUCACUACAAUAUGGGGCAAUUGAGAAGAUUCUCGAUUCUCAAUGAGCGGUAACAAAGCUCAAUGGUAAUGCGUAGUGAUUUAAGAAAAUGAGUAGUAUGAAGUAGAUUAGUUUGAUGGGGGUGAAAGAAUUUGAAUUAUGGAAAUUAAAGUUCAGGAUACAUUGGUGCAACAAGGUUAAUAUGACGCCCUACAAGGAUUAUCUAAGAAACCUCAGGGUAUGAAGGAUGAUGAUUGAGAAGAAUCAGAUAAGAAGGUGCUUGCCACCAUUUGCUUGUGUUUUAAUAGAUGAAAUACUCUCUAAUGCCAUAGGAGAAAAGAUAGCAUUUGCAAAGCUAGAAAAAUUGUCUUAGACAAAGUCCCUUCCCUCAUAUAUGGGAUUUUCUUUGAAAGUAAAUUAUAUUCUUUGAGGAUGCAUGAAAAUAUGAAAGUGUUAGAACAUUGCUCACCCUUUAUUGUGCAUGUGAAUGUUUGUGACCCCAAAUAUAAUGGAUAAAGCAAAAUUACAACAAAAGAGGCAAAUAAACUUCAAUUAAAAUAAGUGCAUAGAAUACAUUAGCAUUUCUUUGGGGGAGUUCUUAAGUGGACGUAAGGAAACCUGUAAACAAUUCAAGAAAAACACAGAUAACACUCUGAUAGGAAGGAUAUAGCUAAACAAAGCUUUUUUUAUUUCUAUCUAAAUCAAUCCCAAGGCACCUGUAGACAACUCAUUAAUUAAAUUCACUUCCUCUAACAAUUGAGGGUUAAAAUGCCUUUGUUCAAUCGGUUAUAAGCGGCUCAACUAGGAAGAAACAAAGAAAAUUACAGUAUACCUCCUUCACAUAUAAAGGGUAUUCUACCAUCUUCUUGAUUGUUUCUGUAUAUCGCUGUUACCAUUUUUUUCUCUCUCCCCUAUUGUCUUGUGCAUGUGUUUUUUGGCUUUUAUAGAUGAUGGGGUACUCCUAGUAGGUGGUUUAUCAAAGUGCCUGGUAGUGGCGGUGUAGUGGAGUAGAGGGUAGCAUGGUGGAUUGACCUCCAUGCUCUAUAGAGAUCGUGGUUAAAACAUGUGCAACAUUAUUGCCCUUCUUGGUGCCACAUCUUCCAAUGGGUUGAGUAGGGUCAUUAGAAGACUCAAGCACUUUUAAUCAGGAAUGUGACCCUUAUCCAUAUGGGAUUAAGGUUUAUAUAUAAAAAAUGAAGGAUAUUUUAGUUUCUAUCCUUCUGGUAGAAGUGAUUUUUAAGUCCGAGAAGAAGUUAUUUUCAACUUACCCUUCCAAUAAAUCAUUUAUAGCAUGUUGUGCAUCAUUUUUACUUUUAUGCAAAGGAAUUAAUGUUCUUAAAGGAUUUAUAAUUAUUCAUCUGAAACAUGCAACAUAGCAUUUGGCCUCAUGAUACCUAUAUUAGGUAAAUUUCAAUUUAAGUAGCAAAAAUGGGUAAUUGUCAAUAGUGGACUUAUGAAAAUGUGGAUAUUUGGUAAAAAGGCUCACAAAUCUCAAGGCUUAUGUGAAUCAUGCAUAUAUUUGGUAAAAAGGCUCACCAAUUUGGCAAUUUCAAGGUUUAUGAGAACCAUGAGGUUAUAUUAAUGCUUGCACAAUUGAAGACUAACCAUGCAUUAUUUUAGCACUGUAACCGUUAUGCAUUCCAUACCAAAGACAUAACUCAUUUGAGGAAUGAAAAAUCCCUUGAUUUAUCCUGGUAUUUGCGGGAUUUAAUCAGAGGAUAGUACGUGAUAUUUGAGGUUUCCCUCACAUAUUGAAUUUGAAUCUGGACCGUCAGAUCUGAAGAUGAUGUGGUAUAGAGCCAAUGUUUGACAAUGGAGUCAUGUAGCUUAGCUAUGGUUCAUCUUCAUUGUGAUUGAAGAUCAAGAACUUAGAAUUCAUUAUAGUAAAAGGCUUGAGAUUAUGCAAAUUAGCAGAACUUUGCUGGUGGAUCCCAAAAGGGAUUUGAAAGAUUGACCCUUAUAUCCUUGGGCGUUGAGGAGACGGCUAUUGUUAGCUGGCAAUUCAAGCGCAUCUCCUCUUGAGAGGUAUAAAUAGGGGUUUAUAGCAAUCAUGCAAAUAACUUUCUUGUUACUAUAGCAAUGGGUGCAUCAUCUUCAGGGUGGGUAUUAGACUCUCUAGUUCAGUCACCAACUGCUCUUUAGAAAGGUUACCAGGUGGGUAAGACAUUUUAAGGUGGUAACAAAUGUGGUUGGAAGGCUUCAUAGGAUUCCUUUUCAUUGUGUAACUUUGAGGUCAUAUAAUGACCUGUGUCUCUUUAGCGUUCUACUCUAUGGGCUUCUAGGGCAUCCAACUGCAUCUCUCAUAUCAUGGGGCAUCCUAGGGCAUGGAUGGACUUCCUCAUGAUCCAUCCUCCGUCCUGUUUCAUUCAUAUAUGAUGAUGAUCUUUGUAGGGGCUUCUUGGAGGAUAUCCUCCUUAUGAGAGCCAAUGGCCAAUGGUCUAUCACAUCUCGAUAGGAGAAUAGACUGUCUCAUCUCCUUCAGUACAUGUAGCAAGAGGGGGUAUACUGAUUCCCAACAGGAUGGGUUUCUUUAUUGCUCUUGAGACAGAGGAUGGAAGGCACUGAUGUGCAUCUUCUCUUUCACAUCUAUUACUUCCAUCAUCACCUUUCUUGGGGUAGGAUAACAAUCACUAAAGUAGGAUAAGUUGCACAUUAGGGAUCCUAAGCAAUUGUGUUGAAGAUUGAUGUGGAAGGCAGUAAUGUGCAUCGUUUCUUUUCUUUUUCAAAUAAAAAGAAAAGAAAAGAGAAGAGAGAGGAAAAAGAAAAUAUUAUUUAUUCAACUUAUAUAUUUGAAUCCAAGUGGUUGGACGUAGUAACAUUUUCAUUAAUAAAUUUCAUAUGCAACCAUAAUGUUUUUUUAUAAUGUUUUUUUGGCUAAGUGCCAUAUGGAAUUUAUUAAUGGAAAUGUUAUGGAUGUAAGAACAACCACUUGUAUUCAAAUAUAUAUAAGUUGAAUAAGUCAUAUUUUCCUUUCCUCUAGCUCUUCUCUUUUUUUUUUUAUUUGAAAAAGAGAGGAUUAUUCGUCCAAGGAUGCCAUUGGUCGCCUUCGAGAUGGGGUUUGCUGCAACAACUUUUGGGUGCCCGAGGUAUUUUUCUUGGAAAAGGCCUGUCUUUCGGGAAGUUCUGCACCACUUCGGCUUCACCUCUUCACCAUUCUUAAAUGUUGCCCAUAAAAGGCUGUGGGCCACUGAGAUCCAGCAGAUCCUUCUACAUCAAGGUCCGGAAAGAGGAGGAAUCCUCCAGUUCUGGGUCAUCUUCGGAAUAUGGUGGUGCUUGGUCUAAUGGUUCGUCAUUGUUAGGGGAUUGCAACUCCUUGGUCUAAUGGUUCGUCAUUGUUAGGGAAAUGCAAUUCCAUGAACAUUCUAUGCCAUCAGAUAGACUUCAUUCAACGUACACUAAGGCACGAGGAGAAGAGUAUGAAGAAGUUGAAGUUGGAGUUGAAGAGGAAAUGAGAAGAAUUUGAACUCCAGACAUAGACCUUGCGAGAACCUGCGUGAUUGAAAUCUAAGGUGCUGAUGUUCUUGUGGGGCAUUAGAUCCUUUGGGUGAACUCGACACCUAUAGGAGAUUCUCGCUUACACUUCAAGGCUCGGAGCCUAACUCUCCUUUCAACUUUUUGAUUUGACUUUAAUCUUUUUCUUUUUCUUCUUUUUUUUUUUUUAUACUCCAUUGAUUUUGCUCUUGUGACUCUAUUUCCUUUGAAUUUGGUCUUUGUGAAGCUCAA
Long non-coding RNA from Amborella trichopoda, 4216 nucleotides. RefSeq lists it as uncharacterized. The record is from RefSeq and is a predicted model, not a curated record. NCBI's taxonomy places the organism in Eukaryota, Viridiplantae, Streptophyta, Magnoliopsida, Amborellales, Amborellaceae.